AAGGAGAAGGAGGAGGAAGGGGAGGAGAAAGACGAAGAGAUGGAGGAAAACUGAAAAUGGUUGCCUUGCUCUUCCUGCUUCCACCUCAAACCCUAAAAUGACAGUUCUACAGAUGAGAACAUACCAGGGAAGCUGAGAGAAUCCACAAACCCUUUGAAGGAAGUGGCUUGCUGCUGCAGAGUGGGACAGCAGAGGAACUGUGUUGAUCCCAAGAGUGCUUCCUAAGAAUCCUCCUCCAUGUUAACUUUCAUCCUAGAGUCUGCUUCACUGAUUGCCCAACUUGCAACAGAAAGUAGUAAUAUCUCUGCUUUUGUAUUGUUUCAUGCACUACUCAUCUAAGGUUCUAGGACAGUGUUCUCUCUCGUUUCCAAUAAUAAAAUUCUUCUGAUUGUCCUGGGGAGUAUUUUUGAUGUGCAUUUUAUAGUCUCUCAUGCAGCAAAAACCCAAGUGAAAUAGCUAUCUACACUUUGUAGAUUCAUUAAAUGCAUUGGAUACACAACGAAA
Long non-coding RNA from Homo sapiens (human), 504 nucleotides. RefSeq lists it as uncharacterized. The record is from RefSeq and is a predicted model, not a curated record. The transcript is spliced from 3 exons. Lineage: Eukaryota; Metazoa; Chordata; Mammalia; Primates; Hominidae.